AACCUGCCUUUCAGAGGGGACAACAGUUGGAAACGACUGCUAAUACCGCAUAACACAUAGGUGUCGCAUGCAUUUAUGUCAAAGAUUUAUCGCUGAAAGAUGGCCUCGCGUCUGAUUAGCUAGUUGGUGAGGUAACGGCUCACCAAGGCGACGAUCAGUAGCCGGACUGAGAGGUUGGCCGGCCACAUUGGGACUGAGAUACGGCCCAGACUCCUACGGGAGGCAGCAG
RNAcentral lists this ribosomal RNA (229 nucleotides) under uncultured bacterium. RNAcentral describes it as "partial 16S ribosomal RNA". It matches the Rfam family "Bacterial small subunit ribosomal RNA", at positions 123 to 354 of the family's 1533-position model. The record is from RNAcentral.